Molecule: RNA transcript, 7308 nt
Organism: Portunus trituberculatus (swimming crab)
Lineage: Eukaryota; Metazoa; Arthropoda; Malacostraca; Decapoda; Portunidae
Exons: 5
Source: RefSeq, a predicted model, not a curated record
UGUUGAUAUCCUGCCUAUAGUGGGGUGACCAGGCCUGUAUGCAAUACUCUAAAUACUCUAGUUGUUAGUUAUUGUUUCAAGUAUGGGUGAAUGGUUUGCCUCAGGCAACAGGCGCGGGGUGAUGUUGCCAAGUGUGAGUGCGGGGUUGAGGGACAGGGUUGCCAACUGCCGAUUUUCACUGCCAAAUUUAACCAGUUUUGGCAGUAAAACGUGUGUUUGGCAGUGAAAAACGACAAUUUGGCAUUUGGCAUAAAAAAAAUUUCUCAAUUUGGCAGUCAAGAAACCGAGUGAUGCAAUUUUGGUUAGUAUUUUGUAAUGAAAUAUUAUUCUCGGCAAACAACCAAGCCCAUGCCUUGGAUACACAUUACAAUACGCGUACGGCUCUGGUAUUCUCGGGCUCUCGCAAGUCUCAACUCUCAAGCCCGUCACCGCCAGUAGUCACUCAGUACAUUCUGUUGCUCGCACGCUUCUGAACUCGCCACGAUGUCUAAGUGGAAAGGACAGUACGAUUCUGGCAGAAAGUACCAGGAUGCAUGGGAGAAGGACUUCCCAUGGUUAACAAAGGCGAAAGAUGAUUGGCUAAAAAUCGGGUUCAUGAGCCCCGUCAACGGAUAACAAACAGGUGGACAUAAUUCAUAAUGAUCAGAAAAUCAAAACAUUGAAAUAUCAAAUAACAAUUAUUCGUGUUUCAACAUUUUUACCAUGUUGGGGAUGAGACUACAAACAUUCAUGGACAACAUCACGCUGUUGUACAGUGUAGCCGAGGAACAAUUAUAAGAUCAUCGUAACAUACUUGAUAAGUGUUCCUCUUAGGCUGUACUGUCCAACUAUGUGUGGUUGUGAGUGGCUGCCCAUCCAAUUCUAAUUCAUGUCCCUUGGUUUUUUACUAACCUGUGCAUUACAUAGCUCAUGCUAAUAUGCAUAAGGUUUUGAAAUUGAACCAGAUUACAUGUUACCUUUUUUUGCAAUGGGUUAUUGUCAUUUAGUCUUGUCAACUCUGUGUUUAUCUAAAUUCAAUGUUAUGCUUGUGAGUGAUUGUUUUUCUGGUGAUGUGGUCCACCACAUCCCACCACAUCAUCUUUUCAUCCUCACCUCAGCACAGCCUAAGAGGAAUCCUGAUCAUCGCACACUUACCAAGUGAUAUGGUUCAUCACAUUAUCUUCUCAUCCACAACUGCAAAUGAAAUCUGGUAUCAGCACAGGACCACACAUAGUUGGACAGCACAGCCUAUGAGGAUCCCCAAUCACUGCACACAUACCAAGAUUGGAUUACCAUAAAAAUUAACAUUUCACGUCACGAAUUUCAACUGACGUCACAGUGGUAGCCAACGAGAUGCCAUGCUACCAUUCCACCAUCAGUCAGUUGCUACCUCCUCGCAGUCACGCAUCUAGCUGCUCCUCUUCUGUUCUACUCCAAGCAACGUCUUGCUGGUGUGAUGUCGGGCAUGGAGCAGUCUCUUCCUCUGUCCCCCUCCCUUUCGUCGUCUUCAGAUGGCAAGAAAAGGAAGCGGUGCUCGGUGAAUGAUUCCACUCCUCCUCCACCUUGCGCUUCACCACCAUCACUCCCAGGGACGAGCUCAGCAGGUGCCACGUCAGAGUCUGCUGUGUUUGGGGACAGAGUUGCCUUGGAUAGGCUGUCUAGCCUAGUGUCGGGCUUUAUUGACAAGCUGAACAGGACCCUGGCAUCGCCGGAUGCAUCUACGGACACCGGGAAUGACUUUAGUGGUUUUUAUGCCCUCUCGUCGUCUGAAGACGAGGCAAAGGUUGCCCCUGCUAGCCAGCCAGACCCUCUUGAUGGUUUAGACCACCUCACCCGUGACAAUGAUGUGGAUGAAGAUUUUCUGAGGGCUUUGGGUGACCUUUCUGGCCACUUCCAUGGCGAGGAGGAGAAGGGAGAGCCGCUGGCCGACAGCAUGGCCACUAUCCUCAACGCCAGCCUUCGCCGACGGCGUGUGUCUGAAAGUGUGAAGUUAAUGUGUGUAAAGAUUAAGCUCCUGAUUAAUGUGCCGAACCUCACGAUGCCUGUGACAAACGCGGCUAUAACCAAGGCCAUGAGUGUGAAUGGAAGGCUGGUAGAUGCCAAGCUUUUCCAGACUAACUGCCUGUUGACAAAGGCAAUAGUUCCCAUUGCUGUGUGUGUUAAUGAUAUUGGACAAAAGAAGGGUAAGAGCUUGUCGUGUUAUUUAGAUGGCCUUAAUAGUUGUUUGCUCCUUCAUACUUCCUCAACCAGUUGCGGAAGGAUGUGGCCCGAAUCCAUGUCCGUGACUCAGCCAUGGUCGAUCUCUGCAAAUGGUACAUGACCUAGUCCAGCCAUACGCUUGCCCUAAAGACAGCUCCCCACCUCUCAACUAAGUCCACCAAAGCUGAAAAACACUGUAUUAUCUAAUUUGUAUGUAUUAUUUACCAUCUAAAUCUUCGUGUCACAGUACACCACAACUUUUAUGAGUCUUUUAAGGUCACAUAUAUGGUAGACAGUCUAAAAACAUGGACACAACAAGGAAAAUAAGGACCAUAACUGGGGUGUUCCCAUGUAUUUUCAAUGGGCGACUGGUAAUGUUUUAGGUGUAAGGAGGGUAGGGUCAGUAGCAGACCAAUAGCACUUCAGCUUCCCUUUUGUGACAUCAUGCCACCUCAACAUUUUCAACCUCCUUGGCCUUUCUUUAUGUCUGUUGUAAUAUGCUUAGGCUUCUUAACCCCACUAUCACUAUAUACUGCAUUUGACUUUUUUGGGAGCCAUAAUGAAGGCCAAUUUAAUGGAGGGGAAAAAAACAAAACAAAACAAAAACAGCACCACAAGAAACACUGUUUAUGAUGCGGUAUCUUGAGGACAACUGAUGCUCCGUGUGACACCAUCUCGCACCAAAGACAGCAACCCUUUUCAUGGACCCAAAUUUCAUUUGUGGACUAAGACAAAAUUUGUUAGAAAACUUAGUUUGUCAACUGAUUUGUUUGUCCACAGGGGCAUUCAUGGACUGGGGUUCUACUGUAAUGUCAAAGGCUAGUUUACCAAGAUGGUCAGUGAAGGGAGAGGAAACCCAAAGCUGGUGGUGAAAAUUAAGUAGUCAAAGAAUUUCUUAUGCAGAAGUUACAGUAUGUGUAGAAAGUCCUGAUGCCAUGUGGCUUAUGUCAUUUCUUUUCUUGGUAAGUGGUUGAGGCUCAUAACUAUCUUCCUGAGGAGGCAAGAUGUUCUGAUGCUUUUGAAACAAUAAUUGGCAACCUUCUACAUUUUCUUAACACAAGCACCAGUGUGUGAAUCAGCUAAGUUAGGUGUUCAGCUGAUAUAGAGAGACUGGUCUGUCAUCUAGUGUAUCAGACAUAGCCUAAUUGCAGUAAUAUCUUGCUUCCCCUCACCUUGUCAAUAUGCCUAAAAUAACUAUAAGCAAAGAAAAAUGUAAGGAGAUGCUUACAUUAUACAUGGUUGGACAAUAUCUUUCAUGGUCAUUGAUUUCCAUUCAAACAUGAGUUAGGCUGAGGACAAUAUAGUGGUUGUUGCUCUGUUCAAGAAUACUAGAGAGGCUAUUGCUCUUACCCUACUUUCCAAGUCUGGUAAGGCUCUUAAGACUGCUCUGAAGAUCCAUGCACUUAUCUCCAGGAUGUUGCAAAAGAACCAAGACUGACAGCAUGGAAAAUCAAAGAAAAAAGAUUUUUGACUCCUACCAGACUUGGAAAGUGGUGCAAGUACAGUAGCCUCACCAGUGUCUUUGAAAUGAUGCACCAAGCACUACGUUGUCCUCAAUCUAACUCCUGUUUGAGUGGAUAUAAAUGGUAGAUUGUGGUCAGCCUUGUAUAAGCAUCUUACAAUUUUCCUUGCUUACAGUAAUUUUAGACAUGUUGAGAUGAUGAGAAGAAGCAAAAUAUUAGUGAACUUAACAUUUGUCUGGUACACCAGAUGACAAACCAUGAUCUUUCUUUAUCAGCUGAACAGCUAACUGAGGUGACUCACACACUGAUGUCUGUGCUCAAAAGAGCUUAGAAAGUUGCCAGUUAGUGUUUCAAAAGCAUCAGAACAUCUUGCCUUCCUCAGAAGCCAGUUGUGAGUCUCAACCACUUACUGUGAAAAGAAACACCGUAAGCCUUGUGGCAUCAAGACUUUGUACGCAUAUUGUAGGUGAGAGGUAUACAGCACAUAUAUAGAUAAUUCUCACAUGCACAACUAAUAUUCAGAGGAAAGGUGCAAAGCCACUCUCUUGUGAUGACAGAGGCCUUUAAGAGGUUGAAAUAUGAGAAUGUGGCAAGGAUCUGAGACAUAAGCACAGACACGAAAAGCAUUUUACAAUUCUUUCAUGAAUUGUGUAAUAGAUAAUGUUACUGACCUAAGCCACUGCAGAACACCUGUUAAAUAUCUGGUUGUUAUUAACAAAAAAAUGUUGAAUCUGACAAUAUCUGUUUAUAUAUAUGCUGGACUAAGCUACCAAUUAUGUGCAAAAUUGUUAUGUACUUGCUGAUAAAACCACAGUGAAUGCUUAGGGAAACACAAAAAAAAAUACUAAGCAAGCUUCUAUAAUUAUCUUUAUUCAUUAACUUUCACACAUACAAAUAGCAUUUGAAAGUUACCUUAUUACAGUCUCGACACAGCACAUUGCAGUAAAGGUCAGAGUACUCGCCAGGCAUAGCUGUGUCUCUGAUUUCAGCAUCUAGUGAUUCCCAUACCUGAAAAUUGCAAUACUUAUUAUAGACUGUGCUUAUUUAGCAGUUGAUGUUCCCCAAUUUUAUGAGUUUGACUACCAUCCUCACUUCUCCCUAUCAAAUAUUCUCUUCUUGUUUACUCACAACUCUUUCAUGGAACCUGACUGACGGAUGCUGAGGCAGAUAGGGUGACACAAUGUGUUGGACUCACAUGUGUCCUGCCAGGUCAUAUGAUUUUUUCACAAUCAUAAUUCUACUAUAUUCAUAUAACAUAUAUCUUAUUAAUUUAGGCAAUAAUGAAUUUACAUAUAUUUCAUAAUUUCUUUUGGUUUAACCCGUAAGAGGUCAGCACUGAUUUACUUCCCAAUACUCGUCCAGGUCACCAAAAAAAGUUUGAAAUUGCCAUUUUUAAAUGUCCCGCUGGAGCUUUAAAUUUACCUCGCUUAGUGAUGCUGCCAGAUGUACAACUUCUGAAUGAGGCUUUUUUAAUCAUUUUAUCAAUAUUUUUUUCCUAUACAGUCAACCCUUGGCUAUCGCGACUUCAGCUAUCACGUUUUAUUGCUAUCACGCACCCAUGAAAAUCUGCUACAAUUUCAUUAUCGCGACCUCAGAUGCCUGCUAUCAUGCGCCCAGCCAUGACAUCAUGGGAUAUCUGAGCGCUCAUUGGCCAAAACCACCUUCCCGCCGAGAUGAAACACAGUCUCUGAGUGCGCAUCCUCCCCACUAAACAGUGAUAGCCAGAUUCUACCAUUUUUGGUGCUUACAAUGGCUACCAACCCUCCACGCCGUCCUCCUACCAUCGCCGAACGUAAACCAAUGAGACAAGACAUAACCCUAUCUGUGAAAUGUUGUUUAUGAAUGCGCCCAGCCAUUUUGGUCAUGACGUCAUGGGAUAUCUGAGCUGAUGUAAUUUUUUUAUGUUACAACCUUUACAUGUUUUAAUUGGUCCCAAUGGAUUAUACAGUAAUUAAAAAAAAAGGUAAAAAUGAGGGAUAUUAGAAGUAAAAUUUGUGGUUGUGGCACCAAUAACAAUUUUCACCAUUUGUUGUUCAAUUCAGCUAUCGCAUUUUCAGCUAUGGCACGGCUAUUUCCACCCCAAUUGGGCGCGAUAGCCGAGGGUUAUGUGUAUGACAUGUGUAUAAUGGUUACAUAUUCAUAAAUUAACCCAUGUUUUAUGAAAUGAAAAAUAUAAAAAAAUAUUUGCAAAUACUGUAAAUACAAUGUAAAAAAUAAUUUGCUCAGUUUACCACAAAAUAUUGUUUAUUAUUUUUUCUUUCAAUAUCUAAGCUUUUUAGUAUUGUAGCAGGGUGGGAUAUUCUUCAAAACAAGGCUCAAUGCAUUGAGCUACAUCACAUUCAUGACAAUAAUACCAAAUGUCGCUCCGUUUUUUUGGGUAACGCCAAGGCAAGGCAGCAGGGUGGGGUGGGGAAGGGGGAUGACUAACCCAUGUCAGAACGACAGGAAACUGUGCUGAUAUAUGCUAGACACUUCAAAGAACAUAAAUAUUAAAGCUGGAGGGAAUUUCAAACGCAUAGAAAGCAAGGAAGGGGCGAACGUACUUGUACGUGAUUGAUCACAGAUAGUAAGCAAAGACUCCACGUACAUGUACCUGAUUGACCUCUUACGGGUUAAGGGAAUACAUAUAAAGAUACACAGUACUACAGUGGGAUUAAGUACAGAGACUAUUUAUAUCUAUCUUAACUUUAUUGCUUCAUUCUUCUGUUUACUUUAUUUAUGUAACAUGUUUUAUUACUUUACACAUAACUGUACACUAAACCCUCUUCUAUUAUGCCUAAAUGGUAAGUCUAUCACUGUGUGAUAGCAGAAAUUGUGAUAGCCAAAGUGAAGAACCUAUGGAAACAAAUUAAAUUGACAUUAGGACCUCCAAGCUGUCACUUUUGCUACAUUCUGCCCACGUUUUUAUACCAUUUAAUAGUAUACAAACAAAGAAAUAAUACAUUAUAAAAAAAAACUUCCCUAAUCAAGAAUCAUAAUAACAACACAACAAGAACAACCCCCACCAGUUUUUCUCACCCCUCCAACUGCUAACUCUGUACAAGGGCCUUAUCAGUAUGAAGUAUUCUUUACAUGUUUAGGGGGGAGGGGUUCCACUCAUACAGUUUUAUUAGAUAGGGUGGAAUCAAAAGCUUUUCAUCUCAUCAACUCUCCUCCUCUAACUGACUGUUUUCAGCCUCUUUCUUACCUCCAGAAUGUUCCAUCCCUUACUAUCUUUUAUUGUUAUUUUCAUGCUAACCACUCUACUGAUCUUGCUAACUGCAUGCCUCCCCUCCUCCUGUGGCCUCGCUGCACAAGGCUUUCUUCUUCCUCUCACUCCUAUUGAGUGCAACUCUAUAAAGCAAGAAUUAAUCAGUAUUCUCAAUCAUUCAUACCUUUUCUGGUAAACUCUGGAACUCCCUGCCUGCUUCUGUAUUUCCAUCUUCCUAUGAUUUGAUCUCUUUUAAGAGGGAGGUUUCAAGACAUUUGUCCCGGAUUUUUGGAUAAUUCUCUUAGCCUUUUAGGAAACUGGCAAACAAGGAGGAGGUAAUAUACACCUACCGGAACAAUAACUUACUCCCAAUGAGAUCUUAUAGCACUAGUUCAGAGGGUGCUGUGAACCUUCCAUUAAAGCUAGUUGUGAUCUCGCUGAAUGUUUCUUUUUGUGUCUCACAACUCAAGUGGGCAG